AGAACGAACGCUGGCGGCGUGCUUAACACAUGCAAGUCGAGCGGAAAGGCCACUUCGGUGGUACUCGAGCGGCGAACGGGUGAGUAACACGUGAGUAAUCUGCCCCUGGCUUUGGGAUAGCCACCGGAAACGGUGAUUAAUACCGGAUAUGACGCGCUCUCGCAUGGGGGUGUGUGGAAAGUUUUUCGGCCAGGGAUGUGCUCGCGGCCUAUCAGCUUGAUGGUGAGGUAAUGGCUCACCAUGGCUUCGACGGGUA
Molecule: ribosomal RNA, 256 nt
Filed under: uncultured bacterium
Lineage: Bacteria
Description: partial small subunit ribosomal RNA
Rfam family: Bacterial small subunit ribosomal RNA
Source: RNAcentral